Long non-coding RNA from Galeopterus variegatus (Sunda flying lemur), 411 nucleotides. RefSeq lists it as uncharacterized. The transcript has 3 exons. The record is from RefSeq and is a predicted model, not a curated record. Lineage: Eukaryota; Metazoa; Chordata; Mammalia; Dermoptera; Cynocephalidae.
CCAACGAGCAGCCGCCCAGCCCUUGGCCGUGGUGGUGAGAAGACCGUGGAUAUGGGCCAGUUUUGGUGACCCAAAUGGGAUGCUGGGAUACCCCACCUGAUCUGGAGCCUGCACAAGUGGCAUCCUGGAAAAACUGGCAGAAUCUCCUGGAUCUUUGCCUGUAGGGCCUGGUCAAGAGAGAAAGGUGGCCAACCGUCAGACUGUCCAGACAGAAAUGUGGACUGCACCUCCUUAGCAACUAGUGUCCUUCCUACCAACCAGUGCCAGCUCUCAGGGCAGUUGUCUAAGACUUCCUUUCGACUGUCUGUGCAAGUGGUCCUGGAUCUCCAGAGGGUUGUAUCUAUUGCUGUAUCUUUGGGGACACUUCUUAUAUCUGUGUUUAAGCCAUUAAAAGCUUAUUGUUUUAAAUCA